Molecule: non-coding RNA, 3148 nt
Organism: Zootoca vivipara (common lizard)
Lineage: Eukaryota; Metazoa; Chordata; Lepidosauria; Squamata; Lacertidae
Source: RefSeq, a predicted model, not a curated record
CUUGUGUUUGACACCCAUGAUGUAGCACAUUGUGAUAGUAGAGAUUAUGGAGGCUGGCAGCAGCUAUGGGAUCCUGCUGUGCUUCUUUGGCUGAAGCAGCACAGGGGAGUGUUCUACCUGCUUCAUGUUUACUUUUUCUGCAGAAGGAAGAGAAUGUUAACACAUAGGGGUGAAAGAAGAGACAGCAAAAGCAGUGAGAGUAAGGGGAAACAGCUGGAGAGAAGUUGGGAGACAACCCCACUCUCAUUCAUUCAUUUUCUGUAAAAUGCAAGUCACUUUUAUGCUUACUAUAGUUGUUCUUAUCUUCCAUAAACCUUAGCUUUUGAACAAAGAACCAUAAAUGGCCUCAGCCCUGUAUACCUGGAGUAUCCACACCUCCAUCAUUCAGCCCAGACAUGGAGGUCCAGCUCUGAGGGCCUUCUGGUGGUUCCCUCACUGUGAGAAGUUACAGGGGGCCAGGCAGAGGGCCUUCUUGGUAGUGGCACCCUGUGGAACGUUGUGCCAUCAGAUGUCAAAGACAUAAACAAUUAUACGAUUUUCUGAAGACAUCUGAAGGUAGCCCUGUAUUGGGAAGUUUUUAAUGGUCUGAUGUUUUGAUAUGUUUCUUCGAUUCUGUUGGAAGCUGCCCAGAUCGUGGAGUAUAAGUAAUAAAUUGUUGCUGUUGGUAUAAUUAUUAGUGAGCAUUCAAUAUUAAAAUAAAGCAAAAGCAAAAACAAGUUUAGAAAACCUCCAAUAUAAUCUCUAUUGUAACUUGGUUUGAAACAUCCCACAGCCCCCCCAAAUAAUGAUUUUUUAAAUCAGCCCAUCUUUUAUCAUUUCCCCCCUAAAAACACCAGUAAAGACUUGAUAGCACUGAAUAGUCAUUGCAUGAAAAACCCACCCACUUACUGUAUUCAUGAAUAAAUUAGGAAAUUAAAUUUCAAACUGGUUUUUGGCGAAUACAAGGAAUGGCAAAGUUGUCUUGUUCUGAAAUGUUGGAAGCUACUGUCCUGUGAGACAAGUCUAAGGGGAGAUAACAUACAUUUGGGCUUGAUAUGGAGGUCAUGUAAAGAAGAAUCUUAUAAUUUAAUUAAAAACUGUAAUUAAUCCUUGGGAGAUACGAUAGCUCACUAUGGUCUGACAUAAUGGGCCUACAGAGUUUAAAAGCCAAAAUAUAAAUGAAAACUCUAUAUUUAAAAGAUGCCAAGGGAGAGAACCUUUUUUGUCAUGGUAUCUGAUGGAAAUAGUAUUCAGAAAUAUAACCGCCUUUGUUCUUUUGAGAACAAAAACUAAGCAUUAAAAACUACUUUAAUGCUAGAAGAUUAAUUACAAAAAAUGAAUUGGGCCACUGUUUUUGGCUUUGCUUUCAAAACUCUUUGGAAAAGAGCAAAACUAACAAUUCUAUGCUUAGCAAAUUAGUUAAUAUCCUUGAAAAAGUCAAUAAAUUUAUUGUGCUUUUAUAAGGGCCUAUUCUCUAUUUAGCCUGGAAAAAUAGGCUGAAAUCCAAAGUGGUGGUCAGGCUUAUUCUAAAGAGUUUUCACAAAUCCAGCGGAAGUUGUAUUUUUAUUUUUAUUUUUAAAUUCAUUGAUCAGCUGUUCUGCAAGCCACAUCCGAACUACUUUUGAAGCUCUUUUCUGUUUCCCAAGUUGUUUGCCAUGUAGCUUUCCCCCCUGCUCUCUGUUGGAUUUAGAUAAUUCCUUUCUGUAUUCUGUAUGAUUGAUGUCAUCAUACAGUAUUUCUCUUCCUCCUCACUUUUUUUUCUGUCUGGGCCGCCAGUUUGGUGAAAAGUGAAUAUGAGUAAAGAAGUAAAGUGUUCAGUUGAUCAAAUGUACCGUAUUUCUGAGGUUUGCAGCUCUGCUAAAUGCGCUUACGUCUGGGAUCACCAACCCAACACCAGUGUCUGUGUGCUGUGUGUUGAGGCCAUCUUGUAUACCGUAUGUCCCCUGUAAGGGGGAAUAUUCUUUGUUAUUAGAUGGCAGUAGCAUCAUGUUUUUAGUGUGUGUUGAGAAAUCAAUAUUGUGUGAUCUCCUCAAUCAGGAAUAGCAGGACAUUGAUUCUAGAGAAAAGGGGACUGCUGAAAUUUCUCUGCUAAGUUGCCACAGAAACCUAAGCAGCUGAAAACACUUCUGGGAGAUUUAUUUAUUAUUACAUUUUUAUGCCACCCUUCAGUCCAAAGAAGCCCAGGCAAGAAAAGCAGGCAUCUCUUCCCCUUCUCCACUAGCUGAAAGAGACAUCUGACUUGUUCUCUGGAAGAAGCAGUGUUGGAAUUGAGACAGAGAGAGACCUGACUUGCUAUUUGUAGGGAUAUAAUGCUAAGAUUCAUAAGUGUAUUUAGAACCGCCACCCUCUGACUUGGAGUCUUCAUCCUAAUUUUUUAAUGUGUGGAACUCCAUGCUCGGUGCAGGGAAAAAUGGUCUCUGCAGCUGCUCUGUGGCAUAUUUAAUCUAUUCUUACUGCAUAUGCAAUCUGUCCAGGAAUCCUUUCUGCUGGAACUCAAAUACCUCUGUUCCUCAGAAAGCUCUUUCUGGGUUUUAUAAAAUUUACUUCGAAACUCGGAAAGACUUGUAGCUGAACAGCAAAUCUGAGAUGGCUGCAUUUUAUGCAGAGGGUCCUGCACUGCAGAAUCGCUGUGCUUGCCUUUCAGCACGCUCUUUGUUCUGGUUCUGCGAAUUCACAUCACCUUUGCUUUUGCUGUCAUCUCAAUUGUUUUACGAUUAAUCUUUGCUGCUCACUGAAUCUUACUCUGUAGGCCUUGUGAUUUCAUCCACUAUUGGUGUCAAGGUCAAAAUCUUUUAAUUUUAUAGGUAGAGCUGGCACCAUAACCUCUGGGUCUGCUGCUGUAUAUUUAAAUGCUGACAGUUGUCUAAAAAUGACAGUGUCUUGGGCUUAUGUCUGUCAGCUUCUUUAUUGAAUUCUUGGGCUGUAUUUUGUCUCGGAAGCCUAUAAACAUCAUGAUUUCAAAAUUGAUUCCCCCCUUCACUGUGGCAACCUGACAUGUUUGAUAUUGGGAUUUUCUUGUUAAAUUUUUUUUUUAUGGCAUUAAAGAUUUUCUACUGAUUACCGAGAGUUAAGCUUGUAUAUUGCUUCAGGUUUAAAAUUGAAGAAAGCACCAGCAAAAUAAGAAGGAGAAACUAAUAAUAUAUAUAUACCUGAGUGACUUUUCUGCUAA